CCUACGGGUGGCAGCAGUGGGGAAUAUUGGACAAUGGGGGCAACCCUGAUCCAGCCAUACCGCGUGUGUGAAGAAGGCCCUCGGGUUGUGAAGCACUUUCAGUGAGGAAGAACGCCUGGUGGUUAAUACCCAUCAGGAAAGACAUCACUCACAGAAGAAGCACCGGCUAACUCCGUGCCAGCAGCCGCGGUAAUACGGAGGGUGCGAGCGUUAAUCGGAAUUACUGGGCGUAAAGCGCGCGUAGGUGGCUUGAUAAGCCGGUUGUGAAAGCCCCGGGCUCAACCUGGGAACGGCAUCCGGAACUGUCAAGCUAGAGUGCAGGAGAGGAAGGUAGAAUUCCCGGUGUAGCGGUGAAAUGCGUAGAGAUCGGGAGGAAUACCAGUGGCGAAGGCGGCCUUCUGGACUGACACUGACACUGAGGUGCGAAAGCGUGGGUAGCAAACAGGAUUAGAUACCCCAGUAGUC
RNAcentral lists this ribosomal RNA (465 nucleotides) under Vreelandella stevensii. RNAcentral describes it as "partial 16S ribosomal RNA". It matches the Rfam family "Bacterial small subunit ribosomal RNA", at positions 338 to 795 of the family's 1533-position model. Lineage: Bacteria; Pseudomonadati; Pseudomonadota; Gammaproteobacteria; Oceanospirillales; Halomonadaceae. The record is from RNAcentral.